ACCCCACCUGGUGGGAAUAGACUGAGUAGUUAUUGUUGUUGUUGUUGUUGUUGUUGUUAAGUACUGAUGAAUGAAACCUGAUGGUCUUCUUCCAUCAGAGAAUAAUUUGUUCCUUUAUCUCCUAUGCGUUAUCAGUAAUACCUUUCAUACCAACCAAAGCCCACAGCCAAAGGAAACUACAACGAGCGUUACGUUUUUCCAGUGUGGGCCUGUGGAGAAAGAGAACAAAAUCUACGAGAUGCAUGUGAGUUGAGGAGAGAGAGAAAGAGAGUGAAUUGAC
This 280-nucleotide long non-coding RNA is filed under the name Nicotiana benthamiana. RNAcentral describes it as "long non-coding RNA (NBEN_LNC001927)". The record is from RNAcentral. Lineage: Eukaryota; Viridiplantae; Streptophyta; Magnoliopsida; Solanales; Solanaceae.